Non-coding RNA from Notechis scutatus (mainland tiger snake), 462 nucleotides. Lineage: Eukaryota; Metazoa; Chordata; Lepidosauria; Squamata; Elapidae. The record is from RefSeq and is a predicted model, not a curated record.
CUUAGCUGUACUUAACUUCUAAUAAGAAUGGCCAGUGGAAACGUAAUUCCCUCUCAUGGAACCAACCUAAUUCAAACAUCCCAGGGGUUCCCCUGUGUUGCUGUUCAGGUAUCUGGAGCAAUACCAAAUCAUCAGUAUGGAGCUCAGCAACUUGGAACUUCCAUCAAUGCUCCUCAACAAGUGCCCCAAAAUAAUUUGGAGAGAUUCUUCAAUGCUGAGAUCAAAGUACUUGGGACCGUCCAAAUCAUGAUUGGGUUGAUGCACUUUGGCCUUGGGGCUGUUGCAAUUUGCCUUACGUUCGGAGGCUACUUUGCCAUUUCUGUAUUUGGAGGUUACUCCUUUUGGGGAGGGAUCUUAUUCAUUUCUUCUGGAUCACUAUGUAUAUCAGCUGCGAAGAAUCAAAAUCGUAGUUUGGUGAGAAAACUAUAAGGCUUUUGAAUGUCUUUUAUGCUAUUUAUUUGU